AGGACAACAAAACUCAAGGGAUAAUGGAAAAAAGCCAGUGGGACCUCAAAAAGAUCCGUUUUCAACGGAGACGUCUGACCAGGCUGGACGAUUUUGUACAUACAUACAAAGUCACCUUGAGCGCCCUGCUAAGGGAAUAUGGCGACUCUCUGAGGAGGGGGAAGAAGACCCAUCGUGUGGACAUGGAGCGAUGGAAAAAAAGAAAGCAGAACAGGCGAGGAGUUUAUGUGACACCCAUAAACAAGCCUUUUGUUUUCAGACAGCACAAGAAGAAUCUCAUGCAGAAGACAAAAACAGCAAAAGCUCCAGCUCCACUACAAAAACAAGCGCCAGGUGAAACGGAAGCACAUAUUCCAUCACAGGUAAUCCCAUUUAGCAUGGUUAAACAAAGCCAGGAAGCAUUUGAAACACAUACAUCUAAACCAGCUUGGAAU
Gymnodraco acuticeps is the source of this 434-nucleotide long non-coding RNA. RefSeq lists it as uncharacterized. The record is from RefSeq and is a predicted model, not a curated record. NCBI's taxonomy places the organism in Eukaryota, Metazoa, Chordata, Actinopteri, Perciformes, Bathydraconidae. The transcript has 3 exons.